Molecule: ribosomal RNA, 301 nt
Filed under: uncultured bacterium
Lineage: Bacteria
Description: partial 16S ribosomal RNA
Rfam family: Bacterial small subunit ribosomal RNA
Source: RNAcentral
CAGUAGCCGCGGUAAUACGAAGGUCCCGAGCGUUGUUCGGAAUCACUGGGCGUAAAGGGAGCGUAGGCGGCGUGGUAAGUCAGAUGUGAAAUCCCGGGGCUCAACCCCGGAACUGCAUCCGAUACUGCCAUGCUAGAGGAUUGGAGAGGUAGCUGGAAUUCUUGGUGUAGCAGUGAAAUGCGUGGAGAUCAAGAGGAACACUCGUGGCGAAAGCGAGCUACUGGACAAUAACUGACGCUGAGGCUCGAAGGCCAGGGUAGCGAGAGGGAUUAGAUACCCCGGUAGUCCCUGUCUCUUAUAC